UGUGCGUAUUGUUAUGUGUUUACUUUUCUACAUUGGCCAGAGGUAUAGGGGGAGGGUUGAGAUCUCACAAACAUGUUUAACCCCGCCGCAUUUUUGCGCCUGUCCCAAGUCAGGAGCCUCUGGCCUUUGUUAGUCUUGUAUUAUUUUAAUUUUAGUUUCUUGUGUACAAUUUGGAAAUUAGUAUGGCGUUCAUUAUCACUGAACUAGUAUAUAUUUGUUUAGGGGCCAGCUGAAGGACGCCUCCGGGUGCGGGAAUUUUUCGCUACAUUGAAGACCUGUUGGUGACCUUCUGCUGUUGUUUUUUUCUAUGGUCGGGUUGUUGUCUCUUUGGCACAUUCCCCAUUUCCAUUCUCAAUUUUACUAUUUAUUUUAAUUCUGUCAGUAUGUGUUGUCCAUUCAAUAAAAUAAAAUUGUUAUGUGUUUACUUUUUUUAUUCAACCUUUCUGAUUAACAACAUAAUUUUGUACUGAUUCAAUAUAAAC
This 482-nucleotide long non-coding RNA is filed under the name Mytilus galloprovincialis (Mediterranean mussel). Lineage: Eukaryota; Metazoa; Mollusca; Bivalvia; Mytilida; Mytilidae. The record is from RNAcentral.